UUUGCAUAAUGUCUCAUGACUGGAAUAUGCAAAUGAGUUGUAUAAUUUAUGAGUGCCAGUGUCUGUCUAAAAGUGUUUCCCAGAAUUUAUAAAAACUGCAGCGUGGAGAGGCAGCUGCUGGCUGCCCUGCCAGGAGGGUCCACACUUGCUUUGCAAAGUCCGCCUGAGUCUGGGAGUGCAAACGUCUGGGAAUGGGAGCGGAUCCCCCCUUCCCACCCUGUCCUCUUGCUUUAUUUAUUUCCCAUUACUCCCUCCACCACGCUCCCACCUGCUCCCCUCGAACUUCUCUGAGGAGGCCGGGCCCGGGCAGCGGGCCGGACGGACGGGCUGGAUGGACGGGCAGCCCCACAGGUGGCUCAGCCGGGCUCCCUCGCGUCCCUGGGGCUGUCACCGGCCGCAGAGCCCGGCGCUGCUCAGGUGAGCGAGCUCACGGGCACGGUGUGCGCUCAGGAGCCGCCCGGAGCCCCUCAGCGCCCGCAGAGGGAUGGAUUCCUGCUGGUUUGCUCUGUGCCAGCUCCAUCCCUGCUCGGAUCUGAGCCCUGUGACCCUGGGGACAGCUGCAGGCUCAGCGCAGGGCUGGCACUGCCAGCCGAGGGACCCGGAGGGUCCUGCCCAACGCCACGGUGUCAGCACUGGAAAGGCUCUGGAAUAUCCGGACAUUCAGGCAGAGUUCUCCUGUGGUUCCUCACCUGUGGCAUUGGAAGAAUUCCCUGCAGCUCCAUCCUUGAGACUUCCUGGGGCCUUUGUGUGCAGGACUUGCUCUCUGGCCCUCAAUGAGAUAAAUUGUCUGAAACACAGAUCCAGGGCCUUGGAUCUGUGGCUCCUCUGUGCCUGGGGCUCCCCAGCAGAGCACAGUGAGCCAUACUGGCAUUGCCUGUUGUUAUCAUUUCCAACAAGGGUUCCCAUUCAGCUUAGAGUCACUCCACCUCCUGCUUCCAUGCUUCCAGUACCGAUGCUGUUUGAGCAGUAGGAUACAGAGAGCCCCCAGGAAGCUGCAGCUUCCUUGCCACCUCUCCUGGGCAAGGCAUGCACCAUCAGGCAAUGCCAGCCUCGGCUGGAUGGAUAAUCCCAAUUUUCCACUCCUGUUGAUGCCAAGCUCUGUGGCAGUGGCAGCUGCUGAUGCCGAUGCAAUGACCCACAUUCUGAGCUGGCAGCUCUUUCCCUGCCUUACUUAGUCUUCCAGAAGGAGGGUGACAUACAGACAGACUCUAAGCACUGUCUGAGCAGGUCCAUGAGGGCACCAGUGUGCCAGCAAAGAGCAUCAGCCAUUGGCAUCACAUCACCAGCCUCGGCACACCUGAUGGAUGUGCCCAGCAUUAGGAACAGCAUUAGGAACAGCUUGCCUGCAUGGGCCUUUUUGCCUGAUGGUUAUAGUUAAAAACAGUUCUAAGCAAAGCGUGUAAAAUCUUUAAAUCUUUAACAAAUCUCUCAUAAUUCCCAGCUAAAUAGAUUAAAGCUGACUGCAGGCUUUAAAAAGAAGCAAGCUGAUCACUUGCAGGACAGAGAAAAUAAAUAAAAUUAAAACAAUCACAGUGUAAAUGUGCAGCUCCCAUGUUCCUGGUGCAGAUAAAAUUAGGGUGGCAGGAUGGCAGCCAGACCACUGGUGCUGGUUUGAUGGAGGCAAAGAUUCAGUGAGAUGAGGCAAUACAGCACAAUUCUGUAUCCAAAGAAUUACUCAAAAGCAUCAAAGAUGCUGCAGGCAGAUUUUAUCAGGAUGCUGCACACCUGGGGAACAAAGUGGUGCUGUGUGGACAGCUUCUUCAGCAAAACAGGACAGGCUGCUGAAUUCCCAGGCAGAAAUCAGGAUCCUUGUUAAGAUUCAUCCUGGUGUUAAGGUCCUGAGCAUCAGACCAGCCUGUUUGUGGCUCUGGUACUCUCUUCACAGUGCUCACUGCAGCUGAUGUGUGUUUGUAAAGAUAGCUCAGAUUGGAAAUUAUAUGGUUAAAUAUCUUGGCUCAGUGGAAUUCAGCCACUUAGACUUUUCUUCAGUGACUGAAGGAGCAGAUUUUGUAGGAUUAGGCUCCUAUCUGGAGAGAUCUGGUGUUUCUGUUCCUUAGAACCAUGUGUUCCUUUCUUAAGUGUGUAUUUCAGUGUAAGGUAGAGGAGCAGCACUGGCUGCAGCUGUCACACACAGGUGGAAGCCCUCCAGCCAAGCCAGCAGUGCUGCUGCAGGUGAUCCCUGCGGUGACUCGGCAGUGCCAGUCAGUGCCAGCUGCUGCUCCCCUGUCUGCCUGCUCACACGCUGCCUGUGGCUCCUGCUGCCCAGGCUCUCUGUCGCCCUUUCUCCUGCUUUGCCCAGCCUAGUGGUGCCCACUCGCUUUGCCAGCUCAGUGAUUCUGUUUGCUUUGCUUUGCCGCUGUCACUGUGCUGUCCCCAGACCCAGCGCUGGGACUUUCUGCUCCAGUACCUACAGAUGUGUCUCAAAGGAAGCACCAUGAUGACCCCUGCUACAAACCACAGCAGGAUCUCCUGCUGCUGCCAUCAUACACUUGAAUGGAAGCACUGGUGUUUGAUCCUGAAGAUCUGGGAUAGCAGCAGGUUCUUGGGGGUUGGUGGUGAGCCAGAGAAAAGGGUGAUGCAGGACAAAUCUUCUGAAGGGACAAAGGCUGCUCACACUCACGAGCGUAUGCCCAGAGAAGGGGGAUUUGGCACUCCCCCACUUUGGCAGGUGGUGUUUGGCUCUUUGAGAGCAGCUGAGAUUUGGGAGGGUUUUGCAAACUGGGUGGGUGGUCACGUCCCUUGUCCCUCUCCCAUCCUGUGAGGUGAGCAGAACAGACCUGGCACAGGUGACUCAGCCUGGGUCCUCACUGCUCAGAGAGCUUUAAUGGCAGAAGGAAGAAGCUGAAGUUUCCAAAGCUGCCCCAGAAAAGGGCUCCUAAAAUGGUGACACUUCUGUUCUAAUGAAGUUCAGGAUGGAGAUGGCUCAAAACAAGGAUGGGAGGGUACCCUGCCUUAGCCCAACUCUGCCAAAAUGACAAGAGGUUCAUGUUGUUGCUCUCAGGUGACCGUAGAAUAUUGUACUCAGAUACUGUACUGAGGUGACAUCUGCUCCCCUUCCUCCCAAACAGGCAGCUUCCUCACCCUACAGACUGCCCCAGGGCACAAUAAGUAGGUUAAUGCCUGCUUUAGGGGUAGCCUGAGGGUGAGGGCUCUCUGCAGCAAUAGCAGAGUGAGGUUUCCUCUGUGCCUGUGUGAGUUCAUGUGUAGGGAUGCUCCAAGGCAAAUGAAUUCCUACUGCUCCCAUUGCAUCACUGUGUGCCUCUUCCUCCUUCUUUGGGAUGGUGAUGCUCCUUGGGAUGACAGAGCUUUGAUUUUAGUUCUGCCAGGCUCAUAUGCUUUCCUUUGCAUGGUUUUUCCAUUUGUCAUUUGUUCUUCCAUUUCCCUGCUUCCCAGUCCUCAUUCUGGCCAGGCAGGGAGUGGGAGCUCCAAUGGUUGUGUUGGCCAUGCCUCAUGCUUCUCAUGCCUGUUUCUUCUAUGGCCAGACUGGCUUCCAGAAAGGAAAACAAACCAAAACAUGUCAUUCGUUUUGAAUUACAAAUCUGGGUGUUCAAAAUGCAUGAAAUGAGAAAUUUCAGGUGCUUACUGCAACAUGAAUCCACCUGUGUUGGACAUGAGUGGCAUUUCCUAUUUAUGCUCAGACUCUUGAAUACAAAGUUAAAACAGAUGUCAAGGCAGUUGUGGAUGGGGAAAAUAGCAUCAGGUUGGAGAACAGGGAGGGUUUGGUGUGUUCAUCAUUACAGACUUUGGCUGUAGCAAAGGAAAGUUAAAGAGGUGCCUAGAACCAGGUAUUCAAAAUUAAUUUCUUAUUUGUAUAGUAAUGUGUGAAGUUCCUGUGUUUAAUUUGCAUGUAAAUAUUGACUUAUAUUGUUACAUAAAAGUAGUAUUGACAUUUUCCCAUGGAAAGAUUCUCUUUUUGAUUGCUUGACAUUUCUUGGCCUACAUUCCCAAACCACAGGACCUGCCAUGCUGGUGUGACUCAGCCCAGCCUCAGGUGUGAGUGCCUGUUCUUUGGUGGCCUGCUGUGUGCACAGAUCCUGCAAUGGAAAUGGAUCAGCAUGUGGCAAACAUGGUGGGUGCUUGUCAUGUGAGGGGUUCCUCACCCCUCUGUUGUGGAACCUGAAAGUGUUGGUGGAUGGCAAGCAGUGGCUCCAGAGCUGCCUGGAGUGGCCUGGGGUGGCCUUUAGUGCCAGAUGCAGCCACAGGGGUGGAGUGGUGGUUGUGUCACUGGAGGCAGCACACAGGCCAGGAUCCUUGCAGACAGCUCCUUGUCGUCCGCAGCCAGAGCAGGAAUGUAUUUCUUUGUGGAAUUGCUGAGCACUCACAGCUUUGCAUUAAACAUACAAAGUGCUAUAAAGUUGUUAAGUGCAUCACAAAUUAGAGCUAGACGCCUUGAACCAAAAUUAGAGGACAAGUCUUGCUCUUGAGUCUCUCUGUGUCUUUACUUGGCACUUGGAAAGUGCAGAUGAUGAAACUUUUUUCUUGCAAGGGUGUUGAGAUUAGGGACUGCCUUUGGAGAAUGAGAGUGAUGAAUGUCAUAGAAAUGUCACAAGCAGAUUAAUAGCAAAGUUCUGUGAGAGGUUUGAAAAGUGGGCACUAAAUGCAAGUUGGAGCUGGAGCCACACACUGAGCUGUGGUAGGAAGCACUGACUGAUGCCUUUUCUGUGCAUGUAUGAAUUAAUAAGUACAGGAUAGUGUGUGAUGUGCAUCAGAGCCCAUAGCAAAUGCUUAUGCAGAAGAUCCCAGAUUAUUUUGGCAAGCUUGAUUCUGUCAUAUCCAAUGUUCCAAUAAUGUCUUGUAAUUGUAGUGUUUUUCUAAAAUAGUUCUACUGUAAGCGCUGUUCAUAAAUUGAGAAAUUCCAUCUGCACUUGUGCAUGUUUCCAUACUUAGUCCACCUAAUGAGAACUGCGAGGUUCAUCAUCCUUUGAAAGCUUUCUCAGUAGUAAAUGUGAUCAGAGACACCAGAGCAUUCUCUUGGCUAUCAAUCUGCAGAUAAUAGAAGGUCCAUUUCUUAGGUACACACAGAAAAGGAGAAGAAGAAAUACUGGCUAUGACAUAAAAUGAAUUGUCUUCCUCCAUGCCCUUGUAACCUAGGGCAUGUAGUGCAGGCUGCCAGCCAUCGCUUUGCAGAUUUAGAAGUGCUGGAAUCUCUCUGUCUGUAGCAGGCUGCCUGAUGGAUUGGUGAGUAAUGGACUCAGGGAGUGCAUUACCAGCACCCAGACUAAUGGCUAGCACUUGCCCAUGGCUUUGGCUAUAGAUCAUCCUCUGUGCUAUUCAUAAGCUCUUGCCAGUCUGUCUCUGGCACUCGUGCUGCUGCUGUAACACCGUUUGCCUGAAUCAUUCUGCACCAGCUGCCACACUUCCAGAAGGUGAAGAGGGGAGGAGAGUGAGUACCAGCUCUCACUCUUUGGAGGACAGGUUAAAGGAUAAGGUGAUGGGCAUGAUACUCGCUCACCCAGUGUUGCUAGCACAGUAGCCUGGAAAAUGCAUUUGAGUUUGCUAUUCACCAUGAGGCACUGUCCCACCACUGCCUGAGGAACCUGUGCCUGGGAUCUUUUCUUUCCUAGGCAGACCAAUGUUAUGG
This 5581-nucleotide long non-coding RNA is filed under the name Camarhynchus parvulus. RNAcentral's name for it is "lncRNA (ENSCPVG00000017796.1)". The record is from RNAcentral. Lineage: Eukaryota; Metazoa; Chordata; Aves; Passeriformes; Thraupidae.